This 337-nucleotide unclassified non-coding RNA is filed under the name soil metagenome. Its description in RNAcentral is "partial contains 5.8S ribosomal RNA, internal transcribed spacer 2, and large subunit ribosomal RNA". The stretch from base 5 to 121 matches the Rfam family "5.8S ribosomal RNA", at positions 38 to 154 of the family's 154-position model. The record is from RNAcentral.
GAUGGAAGAACGCAGCGAAAUGCGAUAAGUAGUGUGAAUUGCAGAAUUCAGUGAAUCAUCGAAUCUUUGAACGCACAUUGCGCCCCUUGGUAUUCCAUGGGGCAUGCCUGUUCGAGCGUCAUUUGUACCUUCAAGCUUUGCUUGGUGUUGGGUGUUUGUCUCGCCUUUGCGUGUAGACUCGCCAUAAAAUAAUUGGCAGCCGGCGUAUUGAUUUCGGAGCGCAGUACAUCUCGCGCUUUGCACUCAUAACGACAGCGUCCAAAAGUACAUUUUACACUCUUGACCUCGGAUCAGGUAGGGAUACCCGCUGAACUUAAGCAUAUCAAUAAGCGGAGGA